RNA transcript from Contarinia nasturtii (swede midge), 2816 nucleotides. It is a transcript of the gene named intraflagellar transport protein 80 homolog, with no coding region annotated. The transcript is spliced from 16 exons. NCBI's taxonomy places the organism in Eukaryota, Metazoa, Arthropoda, Insecta, Diptera, Cecidomyiidae. The record is from RefSeq and is a predicted model, not a curated record.
AUUCUAAUUUAAAGUUGAAGUUUUCGGUAUUUAAAUUAAAUGUUAUAUUUUAUCAAUGGAAAUUUUCAGAAAAACAGGAAAAAGACCAGAGAAAAGAAAAAAUAAUGCAUUUUGUACCGGAAUGUACAAGAUGUGCAAUCAUACACGGGUUUCUCUUGAAACCGGUAUUAUCGGAACUCUAUGAUCAGAAGUUUUACCUGUGCAAUGAAGUUUAAAAUAAAUAUCUGCAAAGAAAUCAAACACACUGGAGUGCUGUGCUGUUUGGAUUGGUCCAAGAAUGAUGAAAUUUAUACAAUUGGGGAUGACCAGCAGUUGUUUAAAUGGGAUACAAAAACUAGAAGUGAAACUCAGGUGGCCAAAUUACCAGAAGAUUUCUAUCCAAAUGACUUGCAAUGGCUCUGUGGGAAUCGUUCAUCAAAUAAAUCAACUGGUAAUAGCAGUGGUAACAAAGCAAAUGACUCGCUUUUAAUUUGCAGUAAUGAUGGUCGUUUCAUAAUGUUGAAUCGGAGUGCACGAGCUGAACGUAUUGUUAAUGCACACGUUGGAUCCAUAAAUGUUGUACGUUGGAGCCCCGAUGGAACUGGUCUUCUUACUGCGGGAGAAGAUGGAACGAUAAAAGUUUUUUCUAAGCUUGGAAUGCUGAGAUCAACAAUAAUCCAGAAUGAAACACCGGUACGAAUCGCGUGCUGGUCAGCCAAUUCUAUGUCCAUUGCAUACUGCACUGGGUCAUUUAUUGCAAUCAAACCACUGGCAGCAAAUAGUAAAUUAAUCAAAUGGAAAGCUCACUCUGGCAGUGUACUAUGCAUGAGUUGGUCAAACGAGACUCAGAACAUUGCAAGUGGUGGAGAUGAUUGUCAAUAUAAAAUUUGGGACAAUCAAGGCUCAUUGAUUUAUGCCAGCUUUGUGGAAGAUUAUAGCAUCACAUCGGUAGAAUUCGGACCCAAAGGUUUAUAUUUAGCAGUGGGUGGAUUUAAUAUGCUUCGUCUUUGCCACUAUACUGGUUGGGCCUACAGCAAUAUGAAAUUCAGUUCACCACCAAUCGGAUCUGUGUAUAGUAUUCGUUGGUCAAAAGAUGGAUCACAAAUUGCAGCAGGAAGUGGUACAGGUGCAUUGCUAUUUGCUCACAUAAUUGAGGAAGAGAAAGCAAGCCGAAAUCUCAAGGCAAAAACCAUUUCCCGUAAAGAAAUUGAACUGCAAGAUAUUGUGACUCGAACAAUUGAUACCUUAGAUUUUCCUGAUCGAAUAAUCAAAUGGGAAAUUGGGUACGGGUAUUUAGUAGUUGCAACGACGAAUCAAGUACACAUUUAUAAUGAAAAAUAUACAAACACACCUCUUUCUAUUAUCGACGCUCGGCCUGAUGUUAAGGUUUUAAUUCUGGCGAAAAAACAUUUUCUUGUAUUGGACUCUGCUACGGUUUCAAUUUUCACUUAUUCUGGACGUCUGCAUUUAACACCGAAAUUUCCGGGUUUGACAGCUCAGUUGGCUUUGUUAAAUGAGAAAAUUCUCUCAUUAGGUUUACAUUACAUGGCUGUUCGAGAUUGUGGUGAUGAGAGUUUAAUACAUGUAUUCGAUUUGAUUCCUGGCGCAUCACGUCAAAAUGAUAUCACCACAUGUCAUACUAAAACCACCGUUCAACAAAUCGUUGUGAGUCGCGCUGGUGCUAUAAACGAUCAAUACAUGGUAUUUAUUGAUACAAACCGGGAUAUAUUUUGUACAUCUUUAAAAAAUGAUUCAACCUUUGAAAUUCAUAAAAUUGGAACACAAGUAAUUUCUACGAUGUGGGCUAGUGAAGCAAAUAUUUUGGUUGGAUUGCAUGACGCUUCGUACACCAUAUGGUACUGUCCUGGAGAAGCCUGCAUGGAUCCUACCGUAGUAGCUUUGACAAAAUAUACAUUCCAUAUUCCAGAGUUGGGCAAAAACAUAGUCCUGGAGAACUUCGAAGGGAACAUAGUAACAUUGAAAAGCUCCGGUGCUUUAUAUCCCAUACAAGUGCAUUUGUUCUGUGAAACAUUACACAAAUUACUCAACGAUGACUUAUGGGUAAAGGCGUUAUCGUUGUGCCGUCGAAUUCAAGAUUCGAUACUUUGGGCAACGCUCGCAGCAAUCUCAUCAAAGAAGAAUCAACUGGAAAUUGCUGAAGAAGCAUACUCAGCAUCGUUGCAAAUUGAUAAAGUGAAAUACUUGCAACACAUAAAGGUAAGAGGAAUUUGCCACCAAACAGUUAUGAACAAAUGGCCGAAACCUCUGUUAUGAUGGGACGGAGCAAUGAAGCUGAAACGAUUCUAUUGCAUAACAAUAAAGUCAGCGAAGCAAUUCAACUAUGUAUUGUUAGAAUCUCUAUAGUUUGACCAAUGACCAUACAGUUUCAACAGCAAACAGAUUGCUGACAAAAAUUGAGAUUUGGUAGUAGAGAGAUGAGCCGAAGGAUGGAUCAAUAUGUUACCAAUUUACUGUUCACCAACUUUUUGGAAACUUUUCGUCGAUAUUGAAAAACAACAAUCAACAAAUGGUAAAUAAACCGAGUAAAUAGUCGGCUUCUCGAAUGGUGUAAGCGCGCAUCUAUUAAUGGUCAGGCGUGAACAUUGCGGUUGAUGUUUUGAUGUGCAGCAGCCGCCACUGUAGUCGAAUAAUAACAACAUCGGUUCGGCUGUAGCUAGUACAAGCACAAACACGAGCAACAACAACAGUAGCAACAACGUCCAUCGGUACGAAUGCAUAGAUGGGAACGUGCACUCGAUCUUGCUAAAUUGCAUAAAAAAGAGCCGGACUUAGAAUGGAUUUUACAGCAACGCAAAAAUUUAUAUCCAUUUUAACGU